GAUGAACGCUGGCGGCGUGCCUCAAACAUGCAAGUCGAGCGGGGCUAUGUAAUAUCGCAAGGUAGAACAUAGCCUAGCGGCGAACGGGUGAGUAACACGUGGGUAACCUGCCUGGAAGACAGGGAUAACGAUUCGAAAGGGUCGCUAAUACCUGAUAAUAUCCUUUCAUCGCAUGGUGAUAGGAAGAAAGGGGAAACCCGCUUUCAGAUGGGCCCGCGUCCCAUCAGCUAGUUGGUAAGGUAAAGGCUUACCAAGGCGACGACGGGUAGCCGGUCUGAGAGGAUGUACGGCCACACUGGGACUGAGAUACGGCCCAGACUCCUACGGGAGGCAGCAGUUGGGAAUCUUAGGCAAUGGACGAAAGUCUGACCUAGCGACGCCGCGUGAGGGAAGAAGGCUUUCGGGUUGUAAACCUCUGUCAUGGGGAAGAAGUAAGUGACGGUACCCAAGAGGAAGCCCCUGCUAACUACGUG
Molecule: ribosomal RNA, 473 nt
Filed under: uncultured bacterium
Lineage: Bacteria
Description: bacterial SSU rRNA
Rfam family: Bacterial small subunit ribosomal RNA
Source: RNAcentral